GACGAACGCUGGCGGCGUGCUUAACACAUGCAAGUCGAACGGAAAGGCCCUGCUUGCAGGGUACUCGAGUGGCGAACGGGUGAGUAACACGUUGGGGAUCUGCCCUGCACUUCGGGAUAAGCUUGGGAAACUGGGUCUAAUACCGGAUAGGAGCCAUCUGUAGUGUGGUGGUUGGAAAGGUUUUUCGGUGUAGGAUGAGCUCGCGGCCUAUCAGCUUGUUUGUGGGGUAAUGGCCUACCAAGGCGGCGACGGGUAGCCGGCCUGAGAGGGUGUACGGCCACAUUGGGACUGAGAUACGGCCCAGACUCCUACGGGAGGCAGCAGGGGGGAAUAUUGGACAAUGGGCGCAAGCCUGAUGCAGCGACGCCGCGUGGGGGAUGAAGGCCUUCGGGUUGUAAACUCCUUUCGCUAGGGACGAAGCUUUGUUGUGACGGUACCUAGAUAAGAAGCACCGGCUAACUACGUG
This 466-nucleotide ribosomal RNA is filed under the name uncultured bacterium. Its description in RNAcentral is "partial 16S ribosomal RNA". It matches the Rfam family "Bacterial small subunit ribosomal RNA", at positions 28 to 507 of the family's 1533-position model. The record is from RNAcentral.